UACGAGGGGGGCAAGCGUUGUUCGGAAUUAUUGGGCGUAAAGGGCGCGUAGGCGGUUUGACAAGUCUGAUGUGAAAUCUCUGGGCUCAACCCAGAGUCUGCAUUAGAAACUGUCGGGCUUGAGUAUGGGAGAGGUGAGUGGAAUUUCCGGUGUAGCGGUGAAAUGCGCAGAUAUCGGAAGGAACACCUGUGGCGAAAGCGGCUCACUGGACCAUAACUGACGCUGAGGCGCGAAAGCUAGGGGAGCAAACAGG
RNAcentral lists this ribosomal RNA (253 nucleotides) under uncultured bacterium. Its description in RNAcentral is "partial 16S ribosomal RNA". It matches the Rfam family "Bacterial small subunit ribosomal RNA", at positions 524 to 776 of the family's 1533-position model. The record is from RNAcentral.